CCUACGGGAGGCAGCAGUGAGGAAUAUUGGACAAUGGCCGGAAGGCUGAUCCAGCCAUGCCGCGUGCGGGAAGACGGCCCUAUGGGUUGUAAACCGCUUUUGUUGGGGAGCAAUAAGGAGCACGUGUGCUUCGAUGAGAGUACCCAGCGAAUAAGCAUCGGCUAACUCCGUGCCAGCAGCCGCGGUAAU
Molecule: ribosomal RNA, 189 nt
Filed under: uncultured bacterium
Lineage: Bacteria
Description: partial 16S ribosomal RNA
Rfam family: Bacterial small subunit ribosomal RNA
Source: RNAcentral